CCUACGGGUGGCAGCAGUGAGGAAUAUUGGUCAAUGGGCGGAAGCCUGAACCAGCCAAGUCGCGUGAGGGAUUAAGGCCCUACGGGUCGUAAACCUCUUUUGCCGGGGAGCAAUGGUCCGUACGCGUCCGCCCCUGGAGAGUACCCGGAGAAAAAGCAUCGGCUAACUCCGUGCCAGCAGCCGCGGUAAUACGGGGGAUGCGAGCGUUAUCCGGAUUUAUUGGGUUUAAGGGGUGCUUAGGCGGGCAGUUAAGUCGGCGGUCAAAUGUCGGGGCUCAACCCGGGCCUGCCGUCGGAACUGGUGGCCUGGAGAGGGCGAGAAGUAGGCGGAAUGCGUGGUGUAGCGGUGAAAUGCAUAGAUAUCAUACAGAACACCGAUUGCGAAGGCAGCUUACCAAUGUAUAUCUGACGUUGAGGCACGAAAGCGUGGGGAGCAAACAGGAUUAGAUACCCGAGUAGUC
Molecule: ribosomal RNA, 460 nt
Filed under: uncultured bacterium
Lineage: Bacteria
Description: partial 16S ribosomal RNA
Rfam family: Bacterial small subunit ribosomal RNA
Source: RNAcentral